Molecule: ribosomal RNA, 615 nt
Filed under: Meyerozyma guilliermondii
Lineage: Eukaryota; Fungi; Ascomycota; Pichiomycetes; Serinales; Debaryomycetaceae
Description: partial large subunit ribosomal RNA
Rfam family: Eukaryotic large subunit ribosomal RNA
Source: RNAcentral
UGCAUAUCAAUAAGCGGAGGAAAAGAAACCAACAGGGAUUGCCUUAGUAGCGGCGAGUGAAGCGGCAAAAGCUCAAAUUUGAAAUCUGGCGCCUUCGGUGUCCGAGUUGUAAUUUGAAGAUUGUAACCUUGGGGUUGGCUCUUGUCUAUGUUUCUUGGAACAGGACGUCACAGAGGGUGAGAAUCCCGUGCGAUGAGAUGCCCAAUUCUAUGUAAGGUGCUUUCGAAGAGUCGAGUUGUUUGGGAAUGCAGCUCUAAGUGGGUGGUAAAUUCCAUCUAAAGCUAAAUAUUGGCGAGAGACCGAUAGCGAACAAGUACAGUGAUGGAAAGAUGAAAAGAACUUUGAAAAGAGAGUGAAAAAGUACGUGAAAUUGUUGAAAGGGAAGGGUUUGAGAUCAGACUCGAUAUUUUGUGAGCCUUGCCUUCGUGGCGGGGUGACCCGCAGCUUAUCGGGCCAGCAUCGGUUUGGGCGGUAGGAUAAUGGCGUAGGAAUGUGACUUUACUUCGGUGAAGUGUUAUAGCCUGCGUUGAUGCUGCCUGCCUAGACCGAGGACUGCGAUUUUAUCAAGGAUGCUGGCAUAAUGAUCCCAAACCGCCCGUCUUGAACCACGGACCA